RNAcentral lists this small RNA (79 nucleotides) under Companilactobacillus farciminis. Its description in RNAcentral is "Lactobacillus farciminis SAM-III sequence". It matches the Rfam family "SAM-III riboswitch aptamer (SMK box)". The record is from Rfam by way of RNAcentral. Lineage: Bacteria; Bacillati; Bacillota; Bacilli; Lactobacillales; Lactobacillaceae.
ACCUAUUAAAAGGUUCCUGAUGGGAUCCUUUUUUAUUUUAAAGGAGAAGCCCUGUAACCGAAAAGGUGGAAAAGAUAUG